UACGUAGGGUGCAAGCGUUGUCCGGAAUUAUUGGGCGUAAAGAGCUCGUAGGCGGUUUGUCGCGUCUGCUGUGAAAACUCGGGGCUUAACUCCGGGCCUGCAGUCGAUACGGGCAGACUGGAGUUCGGCAGGGGAGACUGGAAUUCCUGGUGUAGCGGUGGAAUGCGCAGAUAUCAGGAGGAACACCGGUGGCGAAGGCGGGUCUCUGGGCCGUUACUGACGCUGAGGAGCGAAAGCGUGGGGAGCGCACAGG
Molecule: ribosomal RNA, 253 nt
Filed under: uncultured bacterium
Lineage: Bacteria
Description: partial 16S ribosomal RNA
Rfam family: Bacterial small subunit ribosomal RNA
Source: RNAcentral